RNAcentral lists this ribosomal RNA (562 nucleotides) under Diplodia corticola. RNAcentral's name for it is "partial large subunit ribosomal RNA". It matches the Rfam family "Eukaryotic large subunit ribosomal RNA", at positions 108 to 693 of the family's 3401-position model. Lineage: Eukaryota; Fungi; Ascomycota; Dothideomycetes; Botryosphaeriales; Botryosphaeriaceae. The record is from RNAcentral.
CUCAAAUUUGAAAUCUGGCUCUCGGGCCCGAGUUGUAAUUUGUAGAGGAUACUUUUGAUGCGGUGCCUUCCGAGUUCCCUGGAACGGGACGCCAUAGAGGGUGAGAGCCCCGUCUGGUUGGAUGCCAAAUCUCUGUAAAGUUCCUUCAACGAGUCGAGUAGUUUGGGAAUGCUGCUCUAAAUGGGAGGUAUAUGUCUUCUAAAGCUAAAUACCGGCCAGAGACCGAUAGCGCACAAGUAGAGUGAUCGAAAGAUGAAAAGCACUUUGAAAAGAGAGUUAAAAAGUACGUGAAAUUGUUGAAAGGGAAGCGUUUAUGACCAGACUUGGGCUUGGUUAAUCAUCUGGGGUUCUCCCCAGUGCACUUUUCCAGUCCAGGCCAGCAUCAGUUUUCCCCGGGGGAUAAAGGCGGCGGGAAUGUGGCUCUCUUCGGGGAGUGUUAUAGCCCACCGUGUAAUACCCUGGGGGGGACUGAGGUUCGCGCAUCUGCAAGGAUGCUGGCGUAAUGGUCAUCAACGACCCGUCUUGAAACACGGACCAAGGAGUCGUCUUCGUAUGCGAGUGU